RNAcentral lists this ribosomal RNA (253 nucleotides) under uncultured bacterium. RNAcentral describes it as "partial 16S ribosomal RNA". It matches the Rfam family "Bacterial small subunit ribosomal RNA", at positions 524 to 776 of the family's 1533-position model. The record is from RNAcentral.
UACAGAGGGUGCAAACGUUGUUCGGAAUUACUGGGCGUAAAGCGCGUGUAGGCGGCAAUACAAGUCGGAUGUGAAAUCCCGCGGCUUAACCGUGGAAGUGCACCCGAAACUGUAUCGCUAGAGUCCCGGAGAGGAUGGUGGAAUACUUGGUGUAGAGGUGAAAUUCGUAGAUAUCAAGUGGAACACCGGUGGCGAAGGCGGCCAUCUGGACGGUGACUGACGCUGAGACGCGAAAGCGUGGGUAGCAAACAGG